AUUGAACGCUGGCGGCAUGCUUUACACAUGCAAGUCGAACGGCAGCGCGGGCUUCGGCCUGGCGGCGAGUGGCGAACGGGUGAGUAAUGCAUCGGAACGUGCCCAGUAGUGGGGGAUAGCCCGGCGAAAGCCGGAUUAAUACCGCAUACGACCUGAGGGUGAAAGCGGGGGACCGAAAGGCCUCGCGCUAUUUGAGCGGCCGAUGUCGGAUUAGCCGUUGGGUGGGGUAAAGGCUUACCAAGGCGACGAUCCGUAGCUGGUCUGAGAGGACGACCAGCCACACUGGGACUGAGACACGGCCCAGACUCCUACGGGAGGCAGCAGUGGGGAAUUUUGGACAAUGGGGGCAACCCUGAUCCAGCCAUGCCGCGUGCUGGAAGAAGGCCUUCGGGUUGUAAACCGCUUUUGUUCGGGAAGAAAUCCUCUGGGCUAAUACCCCGGGGGGAUGACGGUACCGGAAGAAUAAGCACCGGCUAACUACGUG
This 484-nucleotide ribosomal RNA is filed under the name uncultured bacterium. Its description in RNAcentral is "partial 16S ribosomal RNA". It matches the Rfam family "Bacterial small subunit ribosomal RNA", at positions 28 to 507 of the family's 1533-position model. The record is from RNAcentral.